Molecule: ribosomal RNA, 497 nt
Filed under: uncultured bacterium
Lineage: Bacteria
Description: partial 16S ribosomal RNA
Rfam family: Bacterial small subunit ribosomal RNA
Source: RNAcentral
GAUGAACGCUGGCGGCGUGCCUAAUACAUGCAAGUCGAGCGAACGGACGAGAAGCUUGCGUCCCUGAGGUUAGCGGCGGACGGGCGAGUAACACGUGGAUAACCUACCUAUAUUACUGGGAUAACUUCGGGAAACCGGAGCUAAUACUGGAUAAUAUUUUGAACCGCAUGGUUCAAGAGUGAAAGACGGCUUUGCUGUCACUUAUAGAUGGAUCCGCGUUGCAUUAGCUAGUUGGUAAGGUAACGGCUUACCAAGGCAACGAUGCAUAGCCGACCUGAGAGGAUGAUCGGCCACACUGGAACUGAGACACGGUCCAGACUCCUACGGGAGGCAGCAGUAGGGAAUCUUCCGCAAUGGGCGAAAGCCUGACGGAGCAACGCCGCGUGAGUGAUGAAGGUCUUCGGAUCGUAAAACUCUGUUAUUAGGGAAGAACAUAUGUGUAAGUAACUGUGCACAUCUUGACGGUACCUAAUCAGAAAGCAACGGCUAACUACGUG